UUGCUAAUCCUAACCCUAAUUUCCUCCAACAACUGUCGCCACCGCUCUGCCGACAUCAUCUCCUAUUUCAAACCCUAAAAUACCAAUUUUCUCUCUGAUUCUUGGCUAACAACUUCAGUUCUGGUAAUAAGAACUCCAACAUCAGAUUGGGGUUUCGAAAAUCUCUACUGAGGAUAUCUGCAAGUGAGAACGAUACAAGAAGAUGAAGGCGAUGGCGAUUUGAUUCAAGCCGAUUGGAUCAUGUGGUACAAAUGCUACAAAGUUUUCAGCAUGUCAAAUAUAUCUCGACAAGAUCUCAGGUUUAUCGAUCUGAAUUCUGCAUAUCUCGCUGAUCUGAUUAUUCUCUCAAACCUAGAGCAGCGACAUCAGAAUUUGCCAAAAAAGAAUCAGAAGAAAUGUGCGAUUUGAAGAAAGAAGAGAAACCGGUCAACAAAGGUGGCGAUGAAGGCCGCCAGCGGCAGAGAAGGUGUAUGGCUACUUCUUUUAGUUGGCGAUAUAAAAUAUGGAUUUGAGAGGGGAAGGAUUUGGUCUCAAUCGCUAAUUUGAAGGUUGGUUAAGGAGAUCCAAUUUAUUUAAGUCGAUGCCUGAAUAACAUGGGUUCUUUCCUUCCUGAAGCUGGGUUUUUAAACCUAUUGUCGCUGCUCAGAGAUUUUUUGGUUGCCUUAUUAUCAUGGGAUGGUGUUUGAUCAGUUGUCACUAUCGUGGUGAUAUUUCAUCCGUUGAACAAGGAGAUUUUUUUCACAAAACUACUGGAGAUGAGGCGACCAAACUCGAGGUUCUACUACAGACGGGUGGAUAUUUGCUUCUUUCUUCCUAUGUUUAUGACACAUGUCAAGCUGAUGCGGCGGUUGCUGUGGAUGCUGCUGGUACUGCUAGCGGAGAAUCGGCAGCUACGACGGUGCAGAAGUCCGGUGGAUGGUUCGGUUUUAUAUCGGAUGCUAUGGAAGUUGUUUUGGAGGUUCAUCAUCAAAAAGAAAGGAUACGAUAUUCACGACCUAUGAGAAUUCAACCGCAUACAAACAAUGUACGGCUAGGCCAAGGAAAUAUGGCCCAGAUGGGGUGGUUGCCGGUAGUGGUGGCGAGACUGGCAACACAUUGUCACCGAUUCCCAUCUCUGCCACGGGCCCGCCAAUAUCCGGUGGUUACUUUGAGAUAAAGUUUGGUGAUUCGGAAGGAAGUGGUAGCAGUUUGUUUGGUGAGAAGAAGAAAGUGAAAAUAAUUCUGUAGAAUCCAAAUCAAAGCAUGGAUAUGGGAGUAUGGAUUUAGGUGACAGGAUUGCAUUUGGUGGAAGUUUUACGCCUCAUAUGGUUACUUUUAAUCCAGGCGAGGAUGUUACCUCUAAAAUCAUUUUGUUUACUAAAGACGGGCCUCAGUCAGUAUGCAUUCUCUCGGCCGUCGGUGUUAUUUCACAUGUGACUUUGCCCCACGCAUGGCCGGCCCUGAGUGUGGGCGGGGAGGACCAUCAGCCAGGGCCUGAUAUUUCGAGGGGCACGUUUUUUUAUGAAAAAUCCCGAUAUGUAUAUGUAAAAUACCUUUUUAAUAGGGUACACUCAUACAAACACCAACAUAGGCCCCCUUACAAAACUAUUAUUAUGGUUUAGAUUAGUUAUUAACCAUUUGGCAUUAGAGGUUUAGACCUUUAGUGAACCCAAUACCCAAUUUCGUUAAGGCCUACGGGCACAUUUUUUCAAGCUCGAACAAGGUAUACGAAUUCUGAGGGUCGGCCCUGCCAGUUCUUCUGUAGGAACCGUAACAUAUGAGGGAAGAUUUGAAAUUAUUUCGUUAUCUGGAUCUUUCACACCAGGCGAGUUUGGAGGAUCUUUCACACCAGGCGAGUUUGGAGGAUCUUUCACAUCUUGUGAAACUAAGAUGAGCAUAACGUUAUCGAGCCCUGAUGGACGUGUGGUUGGGGGCCAGCUUGGAGGAGUUUUCAUCGCUGCUGGUCCCGUUCAGUUGCAAAGCAACACAAAAGUUUGAAACCAAAGCUUGGUGGGUCUGUGGAUGAAACAUAAGAUGAUGCCAAAGAUGAAGAAAAGGAAAGCGUUGCAUGGAGAAGGAGCAAAAGCAUAUAUUAUGAACGAAAUAAGGUUGAAUUUCAACAUUAAAGUAUAGUCUGGCAAGGAAAACCAAGGCCAAUAGUUAUCCAUCAUUAGAGUUGAAAAGAUUUGGUUUCCAAACCGAAAGCGUAUUGUUAGGAGUUGGUACCAUAUCAUAUGAUUUGAAAGCGAUUCCGUUAAUACUCAUCCCAAUCAGGUUUUAAAUCAUAGGGUUGACUGGGUAUGGAUAUCUUAAAUUAAUCAUUUAUGUUUACAUAAAAAAAGAUGAUAUGUUUAGAUGAACUGGGUAAGGAUUCACAAUUGAAUCAACUUUGAAUUUGGACAACACAUCUGAAUAUGGCUUUGCUGUGGUUUCCGAAAAUGAUUAGAAGUUUUAUUAGAUGGAUAUUUAGUAUCCAAGGUGGAUUUUCAUGUAAUUUGAUAAAAAUAGUUAUGGCUUUGCUGUGUUAUAUGCAACCUGUAGUAAAUCAAUGUUUUACGGAAUGAUUAUUUCUCCCGAGGUUGGUUACGUGGUAUGUUUAAACGUUAUUGUUCUUUUAAUAUUGAAGACGUUAACAUUUAAUUUAUAUACCUUAUUAGUCAUGUCUUAUUCAUUAUUUAAAAUAUAUGUACAAUUGUGUUUAAGAAAAUUUAAAUAUCCAACCCGUGAGUAAUCACGGGUGAU
Helianthus annuus (common sunflower) is the source of this 2721-nucleotide long non-coding RNA. RefSeq lists it as uncharacterized. The transcript has 16 exons. The record is from RefSeq and is a predicted model, not a curated record. NCBI's taxonomy places the organism in Eukaryota, Viridiplantae, Streptophyta, Magnoliopsida, Asterales, Asteraceae.